GCGUCAGAGACAAGCGUCACAAGCCUCCGCCACCACACCACAAAUCGCAUCGAACUCUACGGGCCCAGGCGCCCAGCGUUCAUUCAUCGCCUUCACCGCCACACGCUGCCACGCGCCAUAUAUAACCAGCCGUUCCCUCCUCUCAUGCUCCCCUUUCCAAAUCCGUCUCCGCCCUCACGCACGCGGCCCAACUAGCCUAACAAACCCUAGCUAGAUUUAGAAAAAAAAUUUGUCCCCAAUCCGAACCGACGAGGAGCUCGCCGCCGUGAGAUGUCCGAGUACGACGAGCGCUACCAGGGCAACGGCGACAUGCCCGCAGCCGAAGGCGGCUAUCCGCAGGCCGAGUACGCCGCCGCCGCCGCGCCUGCCGCCGGGGGUUCGCCGCCCGCAGACAGCAAGCCCUCCGGGUUCUCCGACCACGCCGACGGCCGCUCCUCCCAGCACCAGCACGAGACACAAUCACAUGACAGUGGUUCCUCGAAAUCUCGAGAAAGGGACCGAGAACGCGAUAAGGGCAAGGAUAGGGAGCGUGACAGGGAUCGUGGCCGAGAAAAGGGGAGGGACCGAGACAGGGAUAAGGAUCGUGAAAGAAGUGACAGAGAUCGCGAUCGCCACCACAGGGACCAUCGAGAGCGCAGCGAGAAAAGGGAACACCGUGAUCGUUCUGAUGAUCGUGACCGUCACCGUGAUGGUCGUGACCGCCACCGUGAUGAUCGUGAUUCUGAGAGGAGAAGAGAUCGUGACAGAGAUGGUCAUCGUAGGCAUCGCUCCCGCUCCCCUUCUAAGAGUCGUGACCGUGACCGCAGAUCUAGAUCUCGUUCACGCUCUCGAUCAAAGAGCAAGCGCGUGAGUGGUUUUGACCAAGCACCUCCACAACAUGCACUUCCUAUUGUUGCUGCUGGUGCUAUCCCUGGUCAGCUUCCUGGUAUCACUGCUCCUAUUCCCGGGGUUGGGGUGCUUCCGAACUUGUAUAAUUUGGCUGCAGGACAGUUCAACCCCCUUGUUAUUCAGCCACAAGCCAUGACACAACAGGCUACCCGGCAUGCUCGGCGUGUCUAUGUGGGUGGACUUCCUCCAACAGCUAAUGAGCAGACCGUUGCCAUAUUCUUCAAUGGAGUUAUGGCUGCUAUUGGAGGAAACACAGCUGGUCCAGGUGAUGCUGUUCUUAAUGUCUAUAUAAACCAUGACAAGAAAUUUGCUUUUGUGGAGAUGAGAUCUGUGGAGGAAGCAAGCAAUGCAAUGGCUUUAGAUGGCAUAAUGUUUGAGGGAGCACCAGUGAAGGUUAGAAGACCAACGGACUAUAAUCCUUCCCUAGCAGCUGCUCUUGGCCCGAGCCAGCCAAAUCCAAAUCUCAAUCUUGCUGCUGUUGGCUUAACACCUGGCUCUGCUGGAGGAUUAGAAGGUCCAGACCGGAUCUUUGUAGGUGGUCUACCAUAUUAUUUCACUGAGGCUCAAGUGCGGGAGUUGCUCGAGUCCUUCGGACCUCUGCGUGGAUUCGAUCUUGUGAAGGAUAGAGAAACUGGUAACUCGAAGGGAUAUGCCUUCUGUGUUUACCAGGAUCUUAAUGUCACCGACAUUGCCUGUGCUGCCCUUAAUGGCAUCAAGAUGGGGGACAAGACUCUUACUGUUAGGAGGGCAAACCAAGGAGCUUCUCAGCCUAGGCCAGAGCAAGAGAGCAUCCUGCUGCAGGCACAGCAGCAGGUGCAAAUGCAGAAACUCGUAUACCAAGUCGGAGGUGCCCUGCCGACAAAAGUUGUCUGCCUGACACAGGUAGUGACAGCAGAUGAACUGAGAGACGAUGAGGAAUACAAUGACAUUGUGGAGGACAUGAGGGAAGAAGGACGCAAAUAUGUCCCACAUAAUGCCAUUGCAGAGUGUUUUAUAGUCCGACCCUAUGCAAUAUUGGCAAUCGGGCUUUAACCCACAGAAGACACUAUUCUUUUGAGUUUGAUUAAUCAUUAUAUCAUUAGCCUCUUGCCUAUAUAUCUCUACUCACUAACACUUGGACAGGUAACUUGGUGAAAGUUGUAAUUCCACGACCUGACCCCAGCGAUGCUCCAGUUGCUGGUGUUGGAAAGGUGUUUUUGGAAUAUGCAGAUGUCGAGGGCUCGACCAAAGCAAAGACGGGGAUGCAUGGGCGGAAAUUUGGCGGGAACCAGGUGGUGGCCGUGUUCUAUCCCGAGGACAAGUUCGCUGCUGAGCAGUAUGACUGAAAGUUGUAGAACCUGUUCUAGAGUUGCAACACACAAUGUGUGUGUUUUUUUUAAAAUCUUUGAGGGUACCGUUUUCUCUUGAAUUUGAAUCUUAUCUAGUUAUAAGUUUGGUGCAGGACCAGUCGAUAAGCGAUAAGUUUGUGCAGGACCAUUAGGCUUUGUUUGGGUAAUUAGUAUUGAUCCCAAUCCAAAUCUAUAUAUGUUAAUGCCUUGUUCAGUUAUUCUUAUUCCAUAUGGAUUGGAGUGUAUCGGAAUGAGUUUUGACUUGCUA
RNA transcript from Zea mays, 2484 nucleotides. RefSeq lists it as uncharacterized. The transcript has 10 exons. NCBI's taxonomy places the organism in Eukaryota, Viridiplantae, Streptophyta, Magnoliopsida, Poales, Poaceae. The record is from RefSeq and is marked validated.